AGAGUUUGAUCCUGGCUCAGAACGAACGCUGGCGGCGUGCUUAACACAUGCAAGUCGAGCGCGAAAGUUACUCUUCGGAGUGGCGAGUAGAGCGGCAGACGGGUGAGUAACACGUGAAUAAUCUACCCCUUGGCGGGGUAACCAUUCGAAAGGAUGGCUAAUACCGCAUAAGACCAUGUGCCUGCGGGUGUAUGGUGAAAGGCUUUCGGGCCACCGAGGGAGGAGUUCGCGGACGAUUAGCUAGUUGGUGGGGUAAAGGCUCACCAAGGCAACGAUCGUUAGCUGGUCUUAGAGGAUGAGCAGCCACACUGGUACUUAGAUACGGACCAGACUCCUACGGGAGGCAGCAGUGGGGAAUAUUGCGCAAUGGACGAAAGUCUGACGCAGCAACGCCGCGUGGGUGAAGAAUUAGGGUCGUAAAGCUCUGUCAGGUGGGAAGAACCUUGCCUUUAUGGCAACUGACGGUACCACCAAAGGAAGCACCGGCUAACUCCGUGCCAGCAGCCGCGGUAAUACGGAGGGUGCAAGCGUUGUUCGGAAUUACUGGGCGUAAAGGGCGCGUAGGGGCGGCCUGUCAAGUCUGAUGUGAAAGUCCGGGGCUCAACCCCGGAAGUGCAUUGGAAACUGGCAGGCUUGAGUUCGGGAGGGGAGGGCAGAAUUCCCGGUGUAGGGGUGAAAUCCGUAGAUAUCGGGAGGAAAAUCAGUGGCGAAGGCGGCCCUCUGGAACGAAACUGACGCUGAGGCGCGAAAGCGUGGGGAGCAAACAGGAUUAGAGACCCUGGUAGUCCACGCCGUAAACGAUGGAUGCUAGGUGUAGGGAUCAAUCAUGAUCUCUGUGCCGAAGCUAACGCGAUAAGCAUCCCGCCUGGGGAGUACGGUCGCAAGACUAAAACUCAAAGGAAUUGACGGGGGCCUGCACAAGCGGUGGAGUAUGUGGUUUAAUUCGACACAACGCGCAGAACCUUACCUGGGUUUGACAUCGUGUGACGUUUAUAGAGAUAUAAAUUCCUCUUCGGAGGCACACAGACAGGUGCUGCAUGGCUGUCGUCAGCUCGUGUCGUGGAGAUGUUGGGUUAAGUCCCGCAACGAGCGCAACCCCUGUCCUAUGUUGCCAUCACGUAAUGGUGGGCACUCUUAGGAGACUGCCGGUGUCAAACCGGAGGAAGGUGGGGAUGACGUCAAGUCCUCAUGGCCCUUAUGCCCAGGGCUACACACGUACUACAAUGGCCGGUACAAAGAGGCGCUAACCCGCGAGGGCACGCAAAUCUCAAAAAGCCGGUCUCAGUUCGGAUUGGAGUCUGCAACUCGACUCCAUGAAGGCGGAAUCGCUAGUAAUCGCGGAUCAGCAUGCCGCGGUGAAUCCGUUCCCGGGCCUUGUACACACCGCCCGUCACACCAUGAGAGUCGCUUGUACCAGAAGUGCGUAGGCCAACCCUUUGGGGAGGCAGCGUACCAAGGUAUGGGUGGUAAUUGGGGUGAAGUCGUAACAAGGUAACC
Molecule: ribosomal RNA, 1497 nt
Filed under: uncultured prokaryote
Description: partial 16S ribosomal RNA
Rfam family: Bacterial small subunit ribosomal RNA
Source: RNAcentral